GGGGGGUGCAGUGCUGUUGACCGGGGUAGGGGUAGCCAGGUGGAAAGCAUGGCCAGCCGUAGAAAAAUGCUUAUUGAAAUUCUCAAUUAUAGUGGAUUUAUCGGUGGUGACAGUGUUUCCUAUCUUCAGUGCAGUGGUCAGCUGGGAGGAGGUGUUCUUAUUCUCCAUGGACUUUACAGUGUCACGGAACUUUUUUGAGUUAGUGUUGCAGGAAGCAAAUUUCUGCUUGGAUAAGCUAGCCUUGGCUUUUCUAACUGCCUGUGUAUAAUGGUUUCUAGCUUCCCUGAAAAGCUGCAUAUCACAGGGGCUGUUCGAUGCUAAUGCAGAACGCCAUAGGAUGUUUUAGUGUUGGUUAAGGGCAGUUAGGUCUGGGGAGAACCAAGGGCUAUAUCUGUUCCUGGUUCUAAAUUUCUUGAAUGGAGCAUGCUUAAUUAAGAUGGUUAGGAAGGCAUUCAAAAAAAAUAACCAGGCAUCCUCUACUGACGGGAUGAGAUCAAUAUCCUUCCAGGAUACCCCGGCCAGGUUGAUUAGAAAGGCCUGCUCGCUGAAGUGUUUCAGGGAGCAUUUGACAGUAAUGAGUGGAGGUCGUUUGACCGCUGACCCAUUACGGAUGCAGGCAAUGAGGCAGCGAUCGCUGAGAUCUUGGUUGAAGACAGCAGAGGUGUAUUUAGAGGGCAAGUUGGUUAGGAUGAUAUCUAUGAGGGUGUCCAUGUUUACGGCUUUGGGGAGGUAGCUGGUAGGUUCAUUGAUAAUUUGUGUGAGAUUGAGGGCAUCAAGCUUAGAUUGUAGGAUGGCUGGGUUGUGAAGCAUGUUCCAGUUUAGGUCGCCUAGCAGCACGAGCUCUGAAGAUAAAUGGGAGGCAAUCAGUUCACAUAUGGUGUCCAGAGCACAGCUGGGGGCGAGUGGUUUAUAGCAGGCGGCAACAGUGAGAGACUUGUUUUUAGAAAGGUGGAUUUUUAAAAGAAGUUCAAAUUGUUUGGGUCCAGACGUGGAUAUUAGGACAGAACUUGGCUGUUCUAUCUUGUCUGAAAAUGUUGUAGUUAGGGAUGAAAAUUUCUGAAUUUUUGGUGGUCUUCCUAAGCCAGGAUUCAGACACAGCUAGAACAUCCGGGUUGGCAGAGUGUGCUAAAGCAGUGAAUAACACAAACUUAGGGAGGAGGCUUCUAAUGUUAACAUGCAUGAAACCAAGGCUAUUACGGUUACAGAAGUCAUCAAAAGAGAGCGCUUGGGGAAUAGGAGUGGAGCUAGGCACUGCAGGGCCUGGAUUCUCCUCUACAUCACCAGAGGAAAAGAGGAGAAGUAGGAUAAGGGUACGGCUAAAAGCAAUGAGAAUUGGUCGUCUAGAACGUCUGGAACAGAGAGUAAAAGGAGGUUUCUGGGGGCGAUAAAAUAGCUUCAAGGUAUAAUGUACAGACAAAGGUAUGGUAGGAUGUGAAUACAGUGGAGGUAAACCUAGGUAUUGAGUGAUGAUGAGAGAGAUAUUGUCUCUAGAAACAUCAUUGGAACCAGGAGAUGUCAUCGCAUGUGUGGGUGGUGGAACUAAUAGGUUGGAUAAGGUAUAGUGAGCAGGACUAGAGGCUCUACAGUGAAAUAAGCCAAUAAACACUAACCAGAACAGCAAUGGACAAGGCAUAUUGACAUUAAGGAGAGGCAUGCUUAGUCGAGUGAUCAAAAGGGUCUAGUGAGUUGUGAGGUUGGUUGGGGUCUAGGCGAUUCAGACAGCUAGCUGGGCCAUCGGUAGAAAGCUAGCAUAGGAUGGAGGUCUGUUUUUAGCCACCUCGUGCGUUUCCGUCGGUAGGAUUAGUGGGGUUCCGUGUGGUAGAGGGGAUCAAUCCAAUUCGCAAAAAAAAAAAAAAUUUAGUUAUAGAGGCCCAAGAAGAAAAAAAUAUUUUAAAAAAUGUAAAAAAUGUUUGAGCAUGGUGUGUUUAUUCAAGUUACGCCGUUUUUUUCUCCAUCAACAAGGGUUACGAUUUCGAAUGUACCACCGUUUAUUCCCAAUGAGCUAUUGGAGCACAAGUUAUUGUGGUUUGGCCCAGCUCUGAAACAGGUGAUGUUGUUUCGGCGACAGGUGUUUAUGUUUUUGAGCUCACCGGAGCAGACUUUGGAGUUAUCCUUUAAUGUCAAGUAUGACAACAGACUGUAUAUGGCUAGUACAGGAAUAUGCUAGUACAGGAAGUAUAUAUAUAUAUGCUAGUACAGGAAGUCAACAGUGUUUUGAGUGUGGGGAUGUUGGACAUAAGCCAUAAGGGUUCAGGUGGAGCUAGGCUCCCAGGUAGUGGAGGAGAUGUCCAUUUUGAGUAAUGGGGUUCAGGUGGAGCUAGUCUCCCAGGUAGUGGAGGAGAUGUCCAUUAUGAGUAAUGGGGUACAGGAGGGUUACAGGAGGGGGUUCAGGUGGAGCUAGUCUCCCAGGUCGUGGAGGAGAUGUCCACUAUGAGUAAUGGGGUACAGGAGAGGGUUCAGGUGGAGCUAG
Oncorhynchus tshawytscha (Chinook salmon) is the source of this 2470-nucleotide long non-coding RNA. The record is from Ensembl. NCBI's taxonomy places the organism in Eukaryota, Metazoa, Chordata, Actinopteri, Salmoniformes, Salmonidae.